UGGUUUACAAAGAAAUGAUAUUAGUCUCAGUUUUUUCAAGCUUUUAUUAUUCUCUAGUUUUGUUUUUUUUGUGCUCAAAACUAUUUUACAAGCAGUUAAGAUGCGAUUAACAAAAAUUAUAUUGCUCGUCCUUUUCAGCGCUCUCAUCAGUUUAAAUAUGGUCCAAGCUUUGGAUGAUCAAGGAGCGAAACAAUAUGGUAACAUGGUAGGGCUUUCGGGUUAAAGCAACAUGAGACUCAUAAAUGCUUUGGCGAAACCUGUGUUGUUUCUAACGCUGUUAAUUGAUCUAAUACUGCAGUUCCCCAUAUUUAUAGCUGUAUUUUAAAUAGAUUGAGAAUUUUGAAAAUAAAAGAAUAACGAAAUGCAUAGAAA
Tetranychus urticae (two-spotted spider mite) is the source of this 372-nucleotide long non-coding RNA. RefSeq lists it as uncharacterized. The record is from RefSeq and is a predicted model, not a curated record. NCBI's taxonomy places the organism in Eukaryota, Metazoa, Arthropoda, Arachnida, Trombidiformes, Tetranychidae.